GCCCCCAUAGCUCAAUGGAUAGAGCUGCGCUCUUCUAAGGCGAUGAUCUGGGUUCGACUCCUAGUGGGGGCA
The sequence is a transfer RNA, 72 nucleotides long. It matches the Rfam family "tRNA". Rfam says of the family: Transfer RNA (tRNA) molecules are approximately 80 nucleotides in length. Their secondary structure includes four short double-helical elements and three loops (D, anti-codon, and T loops).